UAGACCGCCUGGGGAGUACGGCCGCAAGGUUAAAACUCAAAUGAAUUGACGGGGGCCCGCACAAGCGGUGGAGCAUGUGGUUUAAUUCGAUGCAACGCGAAGAACCUUACCUGGUCUUGACAUCCACAGAACUUUCCAGAGAUGGACUGGUGCCUUCGGGAACUGUGAGACAGGUGCUGCAUGGCUGUCGUCAGCUCGUGUUGUGAAAUGUUGGGUUAAGUCCCGCAACGAGCGCAACCCUUAUCCUUUGUUGCCAGCGAUUAGGUCGGGAACUCAAAGGAGACUGCCAGUGAUAAACUGGAGGAAGGUGGGGAUGACGUCAAGUCAUCAUGGCCCUUACGACCAGGGCUACACACGUGCUACAAUGGCGCAUACAAAGAGAAGCGACCUCGCGAGAGCAAGCGGACCUCAUAAAGUGCGUCGUAGUCCGGAUUGGAGUCUGCAACUCGACUCCAUGAAGUCGGAAUCGCUAGUAAUCGUGGAUCAGAAUGCCACGGUGAAUACGUUCCCGGGCCUUGUACACACCGCCCGUCACACCAUGGGAGUGGGUUGCAAAAGAAGUAGGUAGCUUAACCUUCGGGAGGGCGCUUACCACUUUGUGAUUCAUGACUGGGGUGAAGUCGUAACAAGGUAACCGUAGGGGAACCUGCGGUUGGAUCACCUCCUUACCUUAAAGAA
This 678-nucleotide ribosomal RNA is filed under the name Salmonella enterica subsp. enterica serovar Derby. Its description in RNAcentral is "bacterial SSU rRNA". It matches the Rfam family "Bacterial small subunit ribosomal RNA", at positions 865 to 1533 of the family's 1533-position model. The record is from RNAcentral. Lineage: Bacteria; Pseudomonadati; Pseudomonadota; Gammaproteobacteria; Enterobacterales; Enterobacteriaceae.